Molecule: non-coding RNA, 93 nt
Filed under: uncultured Mariprofundus sp.
Lineage: Bacteria; Pseudomonadati; Pseudomonadota; Candidatius Mariprofundia; Mariprofundales; Mariprofundaceae
Source: RNAcentral
UGUUCCUGCGUCAUGGCCAGACAAAUCAGGCCGCGCCCGUGCGUGGCCAUGAAAUUAAUCGCUUCCGGCGUCACCCACUCGGCACCCAUGACC